GCAUUCCCAGGACACGCCCCAGAGGUGAGGCCAGCAGCAGUGCAUCCUGGGAGGAGCCUGAAAUGGCUGCAGCCAUAGGGCAGGCCAGCCCCGCAAGCCCGUCUUCCCCCAUGGGACGCAUCAGCAGCACAGGUGCCGAAAUGUGAAAGACUGCUUCUUCUGGACUGGAAGAGGAUCCUCAGGGAAUAAUGGGGGGGACAGCGGGGCCCGUCACUUCCCAGAGGCUGGGCAGUGGCUGCCUCUCAGGGCAGGGCAGAGAGACCAGGGCCCCACGUCAUAUUAAGAGUAUCUUGUUUGUUGGGAAGGGGGAAGAGACAACAAAUAAACUUCUG
Molecule: long non-coding RNA, 332 nt
Organism: Gekko japonicus
Lineage: Eukaryota; Metazoa; Chordata; Lepidosauria; Squamata; Gekkonidae
Exons: 3
Source: RefSeq, a predicted model, not a curated record